CCUACGGGAGGCAGCAGUGGGGAAUAUUGCACAAUGGGGGAAACGCUGCUGCAGCGAAGCAGCGUGAGUGAAGACGUAAUUCGUUAUGUUAAGCUCUAUCUGCAGGGAAGAAAAUGACGGUACCUGAGUAAGAAGCCCCGUCUCACUACGUUCCAGCAGACGUGGUACUAUGUCGGGGGCAAGAGUGAUCCGGAUGUACUGGGUGUAAAGGGAGCGUAGAAGGUAGUGCAAGUCUGGAGUGAAAGGCGGGGGCUCAACCACCGGACUGUGCUGGAAACGGUACGCCUGGAGUGCGGGAGAGGUAAGCGGAAUUCCGAGUGGAGCGGUGAAAUGCGUAGAUAUUAGGAAGAAAACCAGUGGCGAAGGCGGCUUACUGGACUGUAACUGACGUUGAGGCUCGAAAGCGUGGGGAGCAAACAGGAUUAGAUACCCCAGUAGUC
RNAcentral lists this ribosomal RNA (440 nucleotides) under uncultured bacterium. RNAcentral's name for it is "partial 16S ribosomal RNA". It matches the Rfam family "Bacterial small subunit ribosomal RNA", at positions 338 to 795 of the family's 1533-position model. The record is from RNAcentral.